This 1284-nucleotide long non-coding RNA is filed under the name Numida meleagris (helmeted guineafowl). RNAcentral's name for it is "lncRNA (ENSNMEG00000001587.1)". Lineage: Eukaryota; Metazoa; Chordata; Aves; Galliformes; Numididae. The record is from RNAcentral.
CUGAGGUUCAUUCAGGCUCCUGAAGGACCUGGAGUCUUCCAGAAGAGCAUUUGUCCAUGGUGCGCUGGCUUGGAUGUCAAAGCUGGUUUGAGAAACACUUUCCUCCCUCCACCGCUUUUUUUAUGGUCCCUGAUUUAUGUCAAGACAGCUGUCAGCAGUGCUAUGCUGUAACUGAACUGCUGAAGUGACUUGGGGUAAAAAUUCCUUUCAACAGUAGUUUUUGGGGGUAUUAAUUUUAACAUUAGGCCUUCCUGCACAUUUAAUGCUCAGGUUUUAGUCUAACAGCAGAAUCCAGAUUUGGAUCUAAGAGAGUCUAAACUAGCAUAUUAAAUAGGCAUUUAUUCAAAUCUGUUUUCAUAUUUGAAACUACAUUUAAUGGUACGAACAAAAUUGGAAGAAAGAAUAUGUUUUCACAGUGUGAUCUUUUUCUAACCUUCCUAAUUUGAGGACUGUCCCAAAAGAGCAGAAGGAGACCAGGGCUCUUUGCUUUUCCCAUUCCUAGUGAGAUGCUCUCCAUAUACACUUCUGCACUUCCAGGGGAAACUCGCCUCCAGUUUUGUGCUUCUGUUGGCUUCUGUAAACUGUGGAUCAAUGCCAUCUGUAAAUGGGAUAUGCCAGCAAGGUGGACGGACAUCCAUUUGGGAAGGAAGAUGGAAUGCACAUCAGGAAACUGUGGAUUUUUCAAUGCUGAAUGUCUUUAAAGGUAUGACAUAGUUGGCAUGAAGUCAAUGCCUCGCCUGGUGUUUGUCACUCCUGGUGGCGUGUGUUGCUGUGCUUUUGUCUCAUGCAGCUAGUGUGGGCUGCAGGAGAAUCUCACACACAAUGCAAGUCAAGGUUCUUCACAUCUCUUGUUUUCUCUGCUGGCCACGUUUUUCAUGUGGGCUGUGCAACAGACUGUUCCCUGCUGGAGGAAUAACUUCAGGUUAUCCAUAUGGGUGUCCUGCAACCAUGAAGCACAAGGAGAGAUGACUUUCAUCAAGAGAGGUGGCCAAACUAGUCAAGGAGGUACUGUGUCACCAUGAUGAUUCAAGGGGAAUCAAACAUGGGAAAAGAUCUCAAAAUUUCAAAGACAUAGUUUUUGUGCAGGACAGAGGAGCAGAAAGAAGAAUAAUCUUGACCUUCUGUAGCAGUUUAAAUGGAAACUUAAAGAUACCAGACAUUCCUACAGGAUGGAGAGGAUGCUUUUUAAUGAAGGAAUGACACAAAUCUUUUCACUAACCAUAGCACAAGAUUCUCUGUCUUGUUAUCUUCAUGCAAUAUUAAAGCAAUUUAAUACAUUAAAAC